RNAcentral lists this non-coding RNA (19 nucleotides) under Rattus norvegicus (Norway rat). The record is from RNAcentral. Lineage: Eukaryota; Metazoa; Chordata; Mammalia; Rodentia; Muridae.
AGAAAUUGAGGAUGAGCCA